CUUCUUUCCCAGAAAGGGCCCUCCAUGAGGUACCCAUGGGCUGCCCUUUAUGACCAUUCAUGAGCUCUGGGCCACCCCCAUAUUCUCCAUCCUGGUGGCCUUUGGGACCUCACCCUCCAUCUCCAUCUCCACCUCCACCAUUUGAGACUUUAGCCGAUCCAGAAGCUGGUGUCACUCCCAUGAGUCACAACAACAAGCACUCUACCAAAACAAAUGCCAAGAAGGACCAGGAAAAUGCUGGGGCCAUUUCAGUUGUAAGUCUGUCGGGACACCCUCAUUUGCGAUACAGCAUGCUCUCCAGCCUUUUCCCUGUUUUGUGUGUUGUGUGUGUGUGAUAUGUCUGCCUGUUUCUAUUUGCCAAAUGCACAUCCUUAACCCAAGAGUCUACAGGCUUCUCUCUUUUCAGCCUGUCACCUUUUUUCUGGUAAAUUUAGUGGCCAAAGGAACUUAGAGAUUGAGGAU
Molecule: long non-coding RNA, 462 nt
Filed under: Felis catus (domestic cat)
Lineage: Eukaryota; Metazoa; Chordata; Mammalia; Carnivora; Felidae
Description: lncRNA (ENSFCAG00000040657.2)
Source: RNAcentral